GCCUACGGGGGGCAGCAGUGGGGAAUAUUGGGCAAUGGGCGCAAGCCUGACCCAGCAACGCCGCGUGAAGGAAGAAGGCUUUCGGGUUGUAAACUUCUUUUGUCAGGGACGAAGCAAGUGACGGUACCUGACCAAGAAGCCCCGGCUAACUACGUGCCAGCAGCCGCGGUAAUACGUAGGGGGCAAGCGUUAUCCGGAUUCACUGGGCGUAAAGGGAGCGCAGGCGGCACGGCAAGUCUGGUGUGAAAGCCCGGGGCCCAACCCCGGGACUGCAUUGGAAACUGCCGGGCUGGAGUGCCGGAGGG
RNAcentral lists this ribosomal RNA (305 nucleotides) under uncultured bacterium. RNAcentral describes it as "bacterial SSU rRNA". It matches the Rfam family "Bacterial small subunit ribosomal RNA", at positions 337 to 656 of the family's 1533-position model. The record is from RNAcentral.